UCUUCCGGGUAGGUAGUAGUUAAGGUGAUGGCUUAACUAGCCAAAAACUCUCGUAGUCGAAGCUGAAAGGUUGAUCGACCACAUUGGGUCUGAAAAAACCCCAAUGCAAGUUAGUACAGCAGUGAGGAAUCUUGGUCAAUGGCCUAACGGCUGAACUGGCAACUUGGAGAAGUGGCAAGUCUUAUUUUGAUUAUAUUACAAUAUAUAAUCUAUAAGAUUGUAUUAAAAUUGAAUAAAGCUUUGUUUAUAUAUUGAUAAUGACAGUAUAUAUAUCGUGUCUUGACUAAUUACGUGCCAGCAGUCGCGGUAAUACGUAAGAGACUAGUGUUAUUCAUCUUGAUUAGGUUUAAAGGGUACCUAGACGGUCAAUAUAUCUUCUAAAAUGUUAGUACUUGACUAGAGUUUGAUAUAAGAGGGCAGUACUUGAGGAGGAGAGAUGAAAUUCUAUUAUACCAAAGGGACUCGGUAAAGGCGAAGGCAGCCCUCUAUGUAAAAACUGACGUUGAAGGACGAAGGCACAGAGCACAAACAGGAUUAGAUACCCAAGUAGUCUUUGCAGUAAAUGAUGAAUGCCAUAGGUUUAGAUUAA
This 589-nucleotide ribosomal RNA is filed under the name Aschersonia andropogonis. Its description in RNAcentral is "SSU rRNA". It matches the Rfam family "Bacterial small subunit ribosomal RNA", at positions 232 to 832 of the family's 1533-position model. The record is from RNAcentral. Lineage: Eukaryota; Fungi; Ascomycota; Sordariomycetes; Hypocreales; Clavicipitaceae.